GCGGUGAGCCUGGCGCUGGCAGUGUUGGUGACACUCACGUGGUGGUGGUGGCACCAGCACUGGCGGUGUCUGUACCAGCAG
Non-coding RNA from Homo sapiens (human), 81 nucleotides. The record is from RefSeq and is marked provisional. Lineage: Eukaryota; Metazoa; Chordata; Mammalia; Primates; Hominidae.